Molecule: long non-coding RNA, 363 nt
Filed under: Mustela putorius furo (domestic ferret)
Lineage: Eukaryota; Metazoa; Chordata; Mammalia; Carnivora; Mustelidae
Description: lncRNA (ENSMPUG00000029283.1)
Source: RNAcentral
GGGGCAUCACGAAUGUCUGAUAAAUGAAUGAAUGAAUACAUACAUAGUUACUUCUCUUACCUAGGCAUGUCUGAUGUAAGCCUAACUGCUGGGCCUCUGCUUUGGUAUACCUGGCAGAAACUACCAGAGCAAACAAGAACACAAAAAUUUAUAAAAACCCAAUGCCUGCCCCCAAGGACAAUACAGGGGAGUAAGACAGAGAAGGAAAUCCUGAAUGGCCUGUUGAGAAAGGCUAAUGCAAGGAAACGAGUGUUAAAGGAGGUGGUGAAUCUAGCUGGUGAAGAAGCAUUGUGGAGAGAAGAAGAAGGAGGAGAAGAAGGACGAGAAGGAGGAGGAGAAGAACUGUGUCUUCAGAGGCUGUAA